This is a long non-coding RNA of Crotalus tigris (Tiger rattlesnake), 1487 nucleotides long. RefSeq lists it as uncharacterized. The record is from RefSeq and is a predicted model, not a curated record. The transcript has 2 exons. Lineage: Eukaryota; Metazoa; Chordata; Lepidosauria; Squamata; Viperidae.
CUUUUUCUUCCCGGCUCUCGGCCGCCAUCCUUUUCCCACAGCCGCUCCGGAUAUAAGCACAGCGCUUGCCACACAGAGUGAGACAACCUCACUUGGUGACGAGGAACGUGGAAGCAAGUGACAGAAAAGAUCCAACAACGAUCCAGCAAGAAAAAAAAUAUUCUCAGUGGCUAUCCAGCCAAAAUGGAGUCUCCCUUCAGAAUCCACUUCUUCCUCCCCCUCCUCCUUCCUCUUCUCCGUCCUGACUUCCUACGCGACAAUUCUCUCGCUCCCACAAUGCUCUACGCGACGGGCGCAAUAAGUCACAAGUCUUGGCGUCAGCGGAAGUGGCGGUUCGCAUCAUAGUGGGGGAGGCGGCAGAGCUGUACGCAGGGAUGUCAGUUCUUUUCACGAUGGAGACCCUGAAAGCCUGCAAAUUCCUCUUGAUGUGAAGUGAAAGCCGCCUAGUGAGAUCACGCCAAGCACUUUAGGAUAGGUAGCCCUUAAAAGGAUGAAAAGACAACAGUUUGACUGAUUUUUUUCAAUAAGAAACCAAAAUCGGAAUCAGUUGUAUCAGAAUUGGCCUUGGGUGGUACAGUCACAAGCACAACUGCACCAACUUGAAAGCUGCAUGUCAAUUAUUGAAAUAAAAACCGAUAAAGACUCCAAAAUUGAAAAUAGUCUUAAUGUUGGGCAGCGGGACAAUAUAACAAUUUUAAAGAAAAAUAUGACAGACUGGUAAUGUGUAACAAAAAGGUUGCGAGUGACUUCACAAAAGGGAAAAGUGUUCAUGUGUCAAAAGAAUGGUAAUGUUUUCGGAUUGAGGCAUCGGAAAAAUAAAGAGGUACAACAAGCUUCUCUAAGGGAAAAAAAUGAAAACAUUUUUCAUCAAAAGUUCCUAUUACAUUUGUAAAGAGACAAUGAAACGUGAGCAGGAUUCAAUAACAAAAAUAAUAGAUACGAUGAAUGAGAAAUAUUUACAUUAUUACUUGUAGAGUAUUUAAUUCAGUUUUCAGACUGGCAAAAAGAUGUAAACAUAGAAGAUGUAGACAUAAAAGAUGAUAGAAGUGCAAAUUUAAAAUGGAUUAGUUAUGGGAAUAGCAUUACAUUCAGAUAAAACUGCUUGAAAGUAGUUGAUUUCAUUGCAGAGGAAAUUAAAAAAGAAAUAUUUACUAAAAUUAUUGAAAAUAAUCUGAAAAGAUGUUUGAUUAUUGAUGAAGCUUCAACGAUAUCUUGCAAACCAGUUAUACUUUUCUUAAAAGUUGAGGAUUUAGUUACAUCACCAACAAUUUUUGUUGAGCUAGUUGAAUUGGAAAAACAAGAUGCAGAGACAAUAUGUUCUUCAGUUAUAGAAAGUUUAAAUAAUGUUGGGUUUACUAAGAACUACAUAGAGAAAAAUGUAUUAGGAUUGUGCUCCAAUGGUGCCAGUGUUAUGUUUGGGAGAAAAUCUGGAGUGAGCACUAGGAUAGCAAAAGAGUUUCCAAACAUAAUAAAAUGUCACUGUUUAA